GGUUUCCAGAGUAAAGCUGAUCUGCUCUGGGUAAGUCGGGGCCUAAGGCGAGGUCAAAAGACGUAGCCGAUGGACAACAGGUUUAGAUUCCUGUACCGCAUAUAAACAGAACUGUGGGGACGCAUGGGGAGAGCAUGGGCCGGGAAUGGAAAUACCGGUGCAAGCGAAGGAGGUGUGCAGCCGGCAAAUCCGCUGCAUGAGCCGAAAGCGUGACGCGGAGCGAAAUAAAAGUAGCGAAGCAUGUGAGCCCUGUGCCGAGAAAAGCCGCUAUUGCUUUAUAUGUGCCCGUACCGUAAACCGACACAGGUGGAUGAGGAGAGAAUCCUAAGGCCGGCGGAAGAAGUAUUGUUAAGGAACUCGGCAAAAUGACCCCGUAACUUCGGGAGAAGGGGUGCCCACGGGAGUGGGCCGCAGAGAAUAGGCUCAAGCAACUGUUUAGCAAAAACACAGGUCUAUGCGAAACCGAAAGGUGAAGUAUAUGGGCUGACGCCUGCCCGGUGCUGGAAGGUUAAGAGGAGAGGUUAGAGCAAUCGAAGCUUUGAAUUUAAGCCCCAGUAAACGGCGGCCGUAACUAUAACGGUCCUAAGGUAGCGAAAUUCCUUGUCGGGUAAGUUCCGACCCGCACGAAAGGCGUAAUGAUUUGAGCACUGUCUCGACAAUGCAUCCGGUGAAAUUGAAGUACCAGUGAAGAUGCUGGUUACCCGCGCCAGGACGGAAAGACCCCAUGGAGCUUUACUCCAGUUUGGUACUGGGAUUCGGUACUGCACGUACAGGAUAGGUGGGAGACUUUGAAACUUGAACGCCAGUUUGAGUGGAGUCGCUGUUGGGAUACCACCCCUGCAGUAUUGGGUUUCUAACCAGUCACCGUGACCCGGUGAUGGGACAAUGCCAGGCGGGGAGUUUGACUGGGGCGGUCGCCUCCGAAAGGGUAUCGGAGGCGCUCAAAGGUUCCCUCAGAAUGGUCGGAAACCAUUUGAAGAGUGCAAAGGCAGAAGGGAGCUUGACUGCGACACCGACGGGUGGAGCAGGUAGGAAACUAGGACUUAGUGAUCCGGUGGCAUAAAGUGGGAUUGCCAUCGCUCAACGGAUAAAAGCUACCCUGGGGAUAACAGGCUUAUCACUCCCAAGAGUUCACAUCGACGGAGUGGUUUGGCACCUCGAUGUCGGCUCAUCGCAUCCUGGGGCUGUAGCAGGUCCCAAGGGUUGGGCUGUUCGCCCAUUAAAGCGGUACGCGAGCUGGGUUCAGAACGUCGUGAGACAGUUCGGUCCCUAUCCGGCGCGGGCGUAGGAUAUUUGAGAGGAGCUGCCCUUAGUACGAGAGGACCGGGGUGGACUGGCCUCUGGUGUAUCUGUUGAGCCAUCAGGUUCAUGGCAGAGUAGCCAAGCCGGGACGGGAUAAACGCUGAAGGCAUCUAAGCGUGAAGCCCCCCUCAAGAUGAGAUAUCUCAUACGCAAGUAGUAAGACCCCUUGAAGACGACGAGGUAGAUAGGUCAGAGGUGGAAGUGUGGUAACACAUGGAGCUGACUGAUACUAAUCGGUCGAGGGCUUGACCA
This 1554-nucleotide ribosomal RNA is filed under the name human gut metagenome. Its description in RNAcentral is "bacterial LSU rRNA". It matches the Rfam family "Bacterial large subunit ribosomal RNA", at positions 1349 to 2925 of the family's 2925-position model. The record is from RNAcentral.